GACGAACGCUGGCGGCGUGCUUAACACAUGCAAGUCGAACGGAAAGGCCCUGCUUUUGUGGGGUGCUCGAGUGGCGAACGGGUGAGUAACACGUGAGCAACCUGCCCUUGACUUUGGGAUAACUUCAGGAAACUGGGGCUAAUACCGGAUAGAAGCUCCUGCUGCAUGGUGGGGGUUGGAAAGUUUCGGCGGUUGGGGAUGGACUCGCGGCUUAUCAGCUUGUUGGUGGGGUAGUGGCUUACCAAGGCUUUGACGGGUAGCCGGCCUGAGAGGGUGACCGGCCACAUUGGGACUGAGAUACGGCCCAGACUCCUACGGGAGGCAGCAGUGGGGAAUAUUGCACAAUGGGCGGAAGCCUGAUGCAGCAACGCCGCGUGCGGGAUGACGGCCUUCGGGUUGUAAACCGCUUUCGCCUGUGACGAAGCGUGAGUGACGGUAAUGGGUAAAGAAGCACCGGCUAACUACGUG
Molecule: ribosomal RNA, 468 nt
Filed under: uncultured bacterium
Lineage: Bacteria
Description: partial 16S ribosomal RNA
Rfam family: Bacterial small subunit ribosomal RNA
Source: RNAcentral